UGCGUAGGCGGACGAAUAAGUCAGUGGUGAAAUCUCUCGGCUCAACCGGGAAACUGCCAUUGAUACUGUUAGUCUUGAGUUCGGUUGAGGUAGGCGGAAUGUGUAAUGUAGCGGUGAAAUGCUUAGAUAUUACACAGAACACCAAUUGCGUAGGCAGCUUACUAGACCGACACUGACGCUGAGGCACGAAAGCGUGGGUAGCGAACAGGAUUAGAUACCCUGGUAGUCC
RNAcentral lists this ribosomal RNA (229 nucleotides) under uncultured bacterium. RNAcentral's name for it is "partial 16S ribosomal RNA". It matches the Rfam family "Bacterial small subunit ribosomal RNA", at positions 568 to 796 of the family's 1533-position model. The record is from RNAcentral.